RNAcentral lists this unclassified non-coding RNA (804 nucleotides) under Hevea brasiliensis (rubber tree). The record is from RNAcentral. Lineage: Eukaryota; Viridiplantae; Streptophyta; Magnoliopsida; Malpighiales; Euphorbiaceae.
CAAGACAAUUGGUGACAUUGAUCUCAGGUUUUCUCAGGAAGCUAUUAAAAAUAACUUUUUCUCUGGCUCCACUGCCACUGUUGUUCUUUUGUAUGGUCGGCAAAUUUUAGUUGCCAAUGUCGGUGACUCGAAGGCUCUUCUUUUAUCGGAGAAAAUUCAGUCUGCUCUGAGGACUGAAGCUCAUCUAUCGGCAACAGCAUUAACAUAUGAUCAUCAUCCAGACAGAGAAGAUGAAAGAGCUCGAAUUGAAGCAGCUGGUGGUUCUGUCACUAACUGGGGUGUGCCUCGAGUCAGUGGAGUGCUUGCCAUGUCUCGUUCCAUUGGUGAUGUAUAUCUGAAAAGGUAUGGCGUUAUAGCUGAGCCCGAGUAUACAGGUUGGAGGCCUUUAACUACUAAUGAUACGCAUUUGGUGGUUGCAUCUGAUGGCAUAUUUGAGAGCUUGACGCCACAGGAUAUUGGUAAUCUGAUUUUUCAAUGGAAUUCACAUUUCCAAGGAAGUGAAGAUUCAAAGAUGCCAUUCUCAUGCCUGUCUUCAACCUCAUUGGCAGAGUGUAUUAUAAAUACUGCAUAUGAGAAAGGCAGCCAUGAUAACUUGUCUGUUAUAAUUGUUCCCUUGACUUGACACCCCAUAAGUUUACCAAUGAUUUCUAAGGUGCAAUGAGGAAGUAGGAAGGACCAACAUCAAUCACUAAGCUUUAGAAUUAUAAUUGCUGAUGGGAUGAGAUCCCUUCGCGCAAUCGUUUGACAUGGCAUGAACUUUAGAAGUACAGUUGGAAAGCAAAUUUAUAGUGGAAAGUGAACGCC